Molecule: ribosomal RNA, 460 nt
Filed under: uncultured bacterium
Lineage: Bacteria
Description: partial 16S ribosomal RNA
Rfam family: Bacterial small subunit ribosomal RNA
Source: RNAcentral
CCUACGGGAGGCAGCAGUGAGGAAUAUUGGUCAAUGGGCGCGAGCCUGAACCAGCCAUGUAGCGUGAAGGUUGACUGCCCUUCGGGUUGUAAACUUCUUUUAUCAAGGAAUAUAGUGAGCCACGUGUGCCUUUUUGUAUGUCCUUUAUGAAUAAGGAUCGGCUAACUCCGUGCCAGCAGCCGCGGUAAUCCGGAGGAUCCGAGCGUUAUCCGGUUUUAUUGGGUUUAAAGGGAGCGUAGAUGGGUGGUUAAGUCAGUUGUGAAAGUUUGCGGCUCAACCGUAAAAUUGCAAUUGAUACUGGCAGUCUUGAGUACAGUUGAGGUAGGCGGAAUGCGUGGUGUAGCGGUGAAAUGCAUAGAUAUCACGAAGAACUCCGAUUGCGAAGGCAGCUUACUAAACUGCCACUGACAUUGAUGCUCGAAAGUGUGGGUAUCAAACAGGAUUAGAUACCCGUGUAGUC